This 653-nucleotide ribosomal RNA is filed under the name uncultured Fibrobacterota bacterium. RNAcentral describes it as "bacterial SSU rRNA". It matches the Rfam family "Bacterial small subunit ribosomal RNA", at positions 725 to 1382 of the family's 1533-position model. Lineage: Bacteria; Pseudomonadati; Fibrobacterota. The record is from RNAcentral.
CCUUCUGGCUUCAAACUGACGCUGAGUACGAAGCGUGGGAGCGAACAGGAUUAGAUACCCUGGUAGUCCACGCCGUAACGAUGAGUAUUUGGUGCUGGGGAUUCGACCUUCAGUGCCGUAGCUAACGCGAUAAUACUCCGCCUGGGACUACGAUCGCAAGAUUGAACUCAAGAUGACGGGACCGCACAAGCGGUGGAACAUGUGGUUUAAUUCGAUGAUACGCGAAGAACCUUACCUGGGUUUGACAUGUUAGUGAAAGUUUUCUGAAAAGAAAUCCCUUUAAGAGCUUGCUCUUAAACACUAUCACAGGUGGUGCAUGGCUGUCGUCAGCUCGUGUCGUGAGAUGUUAGGUUAAGUCCUGCAACGAGCGCAACCCCUAUAUUUAGUUGCCAGCACAUAAUGGUGGGGACUCUAGAUAGACUGCCCGGAAUAACCGGGAGGAAGGUGGGGAUGAUGUCAAGUCAGUAUGUCCCUUAUACCCAGGGCUACACACGUGUUACAAUGGAUAGUACAAAAAGUCGCAAUCCCGCGAGGAGGAGCCAAUCUUUAAAACUAUCCCCAGUUCAGAUUGAAGUCUGAAAUUCGACUUCAUGAAGCAGGAAUCGCUAGUAAUCGUAGGUCAGCACACUACGGUGAAUACGUUCCCGGGUCUU